Molecule: ribosomal RNA, 1907 nt
Filed under: human gut metagenome
Description: bacterial LSU rRNA
Rfam family: Bacterial large subunit ribosomal RNA
Source: RNAcentral
UCAAGCUGUAAAGGGCGCAAGGGGAAUGCCUUGGCACUGAGAGCCGACGAAGGACGCGACAAGCUGCGAUAAGCUACGGGGAGCCGCAAAUGGGCUUUGAUCCGUGGAUUUCCGAAUGGGGAAACCCGGCAGAGCAAUACUCUGUCAACAUGUACUGAAUACAUAGGUACAUGUGGGGAACCGCCUGAACUGAAACAUCUAAGUAGGGCGAGGAAGAGAAAUCAACCGAGAUUCCGCUAGUAGUGGCGAGCGAACGCGGAAGAGGCCAAACCGGAGGUAGCAAUAUUUCCGGGGUUAGGACUGCAAUAUGUAACUUUAAUCUUUAACUGAAUGCUUUGGGAAGAGCAGCGAUACAGGGUGACAGCCCCGUAAGUGAAAAGGAUUGAGUGCUAGCAGUAUCCAGAGUACCAGCGGACACGUGAAACCCGCUGGGAAGAUGGGGGGACCAUCCUCCAAGCCUAAAUACUACUCAGUGACCGAUAGUGGAGCAGUACCGUGAGGGAAAGGUGAAAAGUACCCCGGGAGGGGAGUGAAAAAGAACCUGAAACCUUGUGCCUACAAGCACCGAGAGCACGUUAAAGUGUGAUCGGGUACUUUUUGUAGAACGGUCCGGCGAGUUAAUAUUUGCAGCGAGGUUAAGGAACUGGAGUUCCGGAGCCGCAGCGAGAGCGAGUCUGAAAAGGGCGUAUGAAGUUGCAGGUAUUAGACCCGAAACCGGGUGACCUAUCCAUGAGCAGGCUGAAGCGGUGGUAAGACACCGUGGAGGGCCGCACCCACGUCUGUUGAAAAAGCCGGGGAUGACUUGUGGAUAGCGGAGAAAUUCCAAUCGAACUCGGAGAUAGCUGGUUCUCCCCGAAAUAGCUUUAGGGCUAGCGUUAUUUUAGAUUACCGGAGGUAAAGCACUGAAUGGUCUAGGGGCCGCGAGGUUACCAAAGCCUAUCAAACUCUGAAUGCCGGAUAAUUGAUGAAUAGCAGUCAGACUGUGUGAGAUAAGUCUCAUAGUCAAAAGGGAAACAGCCCAGAUCUACAGCUAAGGUCCCAAAUGAACACUAAGUGGAAAAUGAUGUGAAACUGCGAAGACAACCAGGAUGUUGGCUUAGAAGCAGCCACUCAUUCAAAGAGUGCGUAAUAGCUCACUGGUCGAGUGGUUUUGCGCAGAAAAUGUAACGGGGCUAAGUGUUCAACCGAAGCUUAGGCAUUGCAGUAAUGCAUUGGGUAGGGGAGCGUCGUAUGCGGGGCGAAGUCAGAGCGGAAGCACUGGUGGACUGCAUACGAGUGAGAAUGCCGGAAUAAGUAGCGAGAAUUAUGUGAGAAUCAUAAUGGCCGAAAAUCUAAGGUUUCUUGGGGAAGGUUCGUCCGCCCAAGGUUAGUCGGGAGCUAAGCUCAGGCCGAAAGGCGUAGGCGAUGCACAUACGGUAGAAAUUCCGUAACCACCGAACAUUUAAGCUAGAGGGACGCUUUCUUUAAGGUUAUCCCGGGCGAUGGUUGCCCCGGGCGUAAGGGACCGAAAUAUAGUAGGGAAGUAACUGGCGAGAGAGACGAGAAAAGCUCUAGUGUAUACUAAGGUGCCCGUACCGCAAACCGACACAGGUAGAUGGGAUGAGUAUUCUAAGGCCAACGGGAGAAGGGUUGUUAAGGAACUCGGCAAAUUGGCCCCGUAACUUCGGGAUAAGGGGCGCCUGCGAGAGCAGGCCGCAGUGAAAAGGCCCAAGCGACUGUUUAGCAAAAACACAGCUCUCUGCUAAAUCGAAAGAUGACGUAUAGGGGGUGACGCCUGCCCGGUGCUGGAAGGUUAAGGGGAGUGCUUAGCGCAAGCGAAGGUGCGAACUUAAGCCCCAGUAAACGGCGGCCGUAACUAUAACGGUCCUAAGGUAGCGAAAUUCCUUGUCAGGUAAGUUCUGACCCGC